This 21-nucleotide unclassified non-coding RNA is filed under the name Mus musculus (house mouse). Its description in RNAcentral is "oocyte_clustered_small_RNA13921". The record is from RNAcentral. Lineage: Eukaryota; Metazoa; Chordata; Mammalia; Rodentia; Muridae.
CCUGCAGAGCUUGCCCUCCCC